CCUACCGCCUCCACCAACAACAUGAAUCUAUCAGA
Molecule: small RNA, 35 nt
Filed under: Arabidopsis thaliana (thale cress)
Lineage: Eukaryota; Viridiplantae; Streptophyta; Magnoliopsida; Brassicales; Brassicaceae
Description: ATSL179980
Source: RNAcentral